Molecule: ribosomal RNA, 276 nt
Filed under: uncultured Acholeplasma sp.
Lineage: Bacteria; Bacillati; Mycoplasmatota; Mollicutes; Acholeplasmatales; Acholeplasmataceae
Description: partial 16S ribosomal RNA
Rfam family: Bacterial small subunit ribosomal RNA
Source: RNAcentral
AUCUUUAAUUGCCAUCAUUCAGUUGGGCACUUUAGGAGAGACUGGCCGGUGUUAAGCCGGAGGAGGGUGGGGAUGACGUCAAAUCAUCAUGCCCCUUAUGACCUGGGCUACAAACGUGAUACAAUGGCUGAAACAAAGGGCAGCGAAGGAGCGAUCUGGAGCGAAACCCAAAAAAGCAGUCUCAGUUCGGAUUGAAGUCUGCAACUCGACUUCAUGAAGUCGGAAUCGCUAGUAAUCGCGGAUCAGAACGCCGCGGUGAAUACGUUCCCGGGUCUU